Molecule: transfer RNA, 73 nt
Filed under: Schistocerca americana (American grasshopper)
Lineage: Eukaryota; Metazoa; Arthropoda; Insecta; Orthoptera; Acrididae
Also listed under: 1 other name
Description: tRNA-Val
Rfam family: tRNA
About the family: Transfer RNA (tRNA) molecules are approximately 80 nucleotides in length. Their secondary structure includes four short double-helical elements and three loops (D, anti-codon, and T loops).
Source: RNAcentral
GUUUCCGUAGUGUAGCGGUUAUCACGUCUGCUUCACACGCAGAAGGUCACCGGUUCGAUCCCGGGCGGGAACA